CCUCAAUGAAAACAGGACGCUUCUUUACCCUUUUGGCCCUUUCGUCCCCGCCGUGGAGGAUGGCGUUGGCCUUUUUCGCCAGCUUUUCCAGCUCCCUCACAGACAGGCCUUGCUUCACCGCCAGCUGAGCCGCCUGAAGCUGGUCGUCCUCGCUUUCAAAGGCCAGCAGGGUUCUCGCAUGGCCCGCGCUCAGCUUUCCGCCGGACACCAUAUGGAUAAUCUCCUCAGGCAGCCGGAGCAGCCGCAUGGCGUUGGUGAUGGCCGGACGGGAUUUUCCCACGGACCGGCUGACCUCCUCCUGGGUAAAGUGAUAGUGCUCCAUCAGGGUCUGAUAGCCCUGGGCUUCCUCAAUGGGGGAUAGAUCCUCCCGCUGGAGGUUUUCGAUCAGUGCCAGCUCCAUCACCUGGCCGUCGCUCAGCUCCCUAAUCACCACCGGAACCUCCUGGACCCCCGCCCGAUAGCGCAUAGUACCGUGAGGGAAAGGUGAAAAGAACCCCGGGAGGGGAGUGAAAUAGUACCUGAAACCGUAUGUCUACAAGCAGUCGAAGCGAAAGCGACGGCGUGCCUAUUGAAGAAUGAACCAACGAGUUAUCUGCACUAGCGAGGUUAAGUGGAAGACACGGAGCCGCAGCGAAAGCGAGUCUUAAGAGGGCGCUAGUUAGUGUAGGUAGACCCGAAACCGCAGUGAUCUACCCAUGUCCAGGUUGAAGCGCAGGUAAAAUUGCGUGGAGGACCGAACCGGUGAGCGUUGAAAAGCUUUCGGAUGAGAUGUGGGUAGGGGUGAAAUUCCAAUCGAACGCGGAGAUAGCUGGUUCUCCCCGAAAUAGCUUUAGGGCUAGCCUGAGGUAGUAAGUAUAGGCGGUAGAGCACUGAUCGGGCUAGGGGCCGUAAAGGUUACCGAACCCUGUCAAACUCCGAAUGGAUAUACUGUAGAGCCUUGGAGUCAGACUACGAGUGAUAAGAUCCGUGGUCAAAAGGGAAACAGCCCAGACCACCAGCUAAGGUCCCCAAUGUCGUACUAAGUGGAAAAGGAUGUGGGGUUUCAUAAACAACCAGGAUGUUGGCUCAGAAGCAGCCACCAUUUAAAGAGUGCGUAAUAGCUCACUGGUCGAGAGACCCUGCGCCGAAGAUUCCCGGGGCUAAAGUACGAAACCGAAGCUGUGGCUGUAUACGUAAAGUAUACGGGGUAGGGGAGCGUUCCCAUAGGGUAGAAGUCGAACUGGAAGGUUCGGUGGACUUGUGGGAAGUGAGAAUGUUGGUAUGAGUAGCGAAAAGAAAGGUGAGAAUCCUUUCCACCGAAAGCAUAAGGAUUCCUGAGCAACGAUCGUCGUCUCAGGGUAAGUCGGGACCUAAUCCGAGGCAGAGAGCGUAGGAGAUGGACAACUGGUUGAUAUUCCAGUACCGGUAGUAAUUGUUUGAGCAAUGGAGUGACACAGAAGGGCAGGCAAGCAUGCGAAUGGAAGAGCAUGUGUAAGCGUGUAGGGUGGUGCAUAGGCAAAUCCGUGCACUGAAAGCCUGAGGCGUGAUGCGGAGUGAGCAGAGAUGCGAGCGAAGUUGUUGACCCCACACUGUCGAGAAAAGCUUCUAGUGAGAGAGCUACCGCCCGUACCGUAAACCGACACAGGUAUGCGGGGAGAGAAUCCUAAGGUGCGCGGGAGAACCCUCGUUAAGGAACUCGGCAAAAUGUACCCGUAACUUCGGGAUAAGGGUAGCCACUGUUGUGAAGUCCCAUGCGGAUGGAGCAUAGAGUGGUCGCAGAGAAGAGGCCCAAGCGACUGUUUACCAUAAACACAGGUGCCUGCUAAAGCGAAAGCUGACGUAUAGGUGCUGACACCUGCCCAGUGCCGGAAGGUUAAGGAAGGAUGUUCGGAUUAGUCCAAAGCAUUCGACUGAAGCCCCGGUGAACGGCGGCCGUAACUAUAACGGUCCUAAGGUAGCGAAAUUCCUUGUCGGGUAAGUUCCGACCCGCACGAAAGGUGUAACGAUUUGGGCACUGUCUCAACGAGGGACCCGGUGAAAUUGAAAUACCUGUGAAGAUGCAGGUUACCCGCGACUGGACAGAAAGACCCCAUGGAGCUUUACUGUAACCUGACAUUGGGUUUUGAUACAUUACGUACAGGAUAGGUGGGAGGCAUGGAAAGCUGGACGCUAGUCUGGCUGGAGCCGACGUUGGGAUACCACCCUUGAUGUAUUGAAAUUCUAACCGCGAGAGUAACGAAAUCCGGGACAGUGUCAGGCGGGCAGUUUGACUGGGGCGGUCGCCUCCGAAAGAGUAACGGAGGCGCCCAAAGGUUCCCUCAGCGCGGCCGGAAAUCGCGCGAAGAGUGUAAAGGCAGAAGGGAGCUUGACUGCGAGUCAAACACGACGAGCAGGUACGAAAGUAGGGCUUAGUGAUCCGGUGGUACCGAGUGGAAGGGCCAUCGCUCAACGGAUAAAAGCUACCCUGGGGAUAACAGGCUAAUCUCUCCCAAGAGUCCAUAUCGACGGGGAGGUUUGGCACCUCGAUGUCGGCUCAUCACAUCCUGGGGCUGAAGUCGGUCCCAAGGGUUGGGCUGUUCGCCCAUUAAAGUGGUACGUGAGCUGGGUUCAGAACGUCGUGAGACAGUUCGGUCCCUAUCCAUCGCGGGCGCAAGAGAUUUGAAGGGGGCUGCUCCUAGUACGAGAGGACCGGAGUGGACGAACCGCUGGUGUACCAAUUAUCCCGCCAGGGGUACAGUUGGGUAGCUACGUUCGGAAAGGAUAAACGCUGAAAGCAUCUAAGCGUGAAACCAGCCUUAAGAUGAGAUCUCUCAUAGAGCAAUCUAGU
This 2806-nucleotide ribosomal RNA is filed under the name human gut metagenome. Its description in RNAcentral is "bacterial LSU rRNA". The stretch from base 361 to 2806 matches the Rfam family "Bacterial large subunit ribosomal RNA". The record is from RNAcentral.